AGGUUAAAACACCUACCCUUUUCCUCCUGGGUGCACAAGAUCUUCGAGUUCCAGUUUCUAAUGGUUUACAGUAUGCAAGGGCCCUGAGAGAAAAAGGGGUCGAGCUCAAAGUGAUUGUGUUUCCUGAUGAUACCCAUGGAAUUGAAAGGCCACAAUCUGAUUUUGAAAGUUUUCUCAACAUUGGUGUCUGGUUUAAGAAGUACUGCAAAUAAAUCACCAGAAUCUGUAAUUAUCUCAAUCCAACAGUAUAUUGGCAUUUUGCCAGUCACAUUGGAGAACUUAGAAUUUAUCAUACUGUUUCUCUCUGUAUGUCAUCGUUGAUGACAUUUGUGAUACAAUUGAUGAUGAUAAAGUCAAACCAUGAUUCUGGAUAUUGUCUGCUUUCAAAAUAAUUCUUAUCUGUAUAGAAACACAUUUUGUCUACCA
Asparagus officinalis (garden asparagus) is the source of this 426-nucleotide long non-coding RNA. RefSeq lists it as uncharacterized. The record is from RefSeq and is a predicted model, not a curated record. The transcript is spliced from 3 exons. Lineage: Eukaryota; Viridiplantae; Streptophyta; Magnoliopsida; Asparagales; Asparagaceae.